AUUCUGCCCAUGCGGGGAAGGAUGAGAAGCUUCGACUAAGGUUCGGCUCGAGCGCCAGCGAGAGAGCGUUGCCGCAGGCAACGACCCGAAGGGCGAAGCGCGCAGCGCUGAGUAAUCCUUCCCCCA
RNAcentral lists this small RNA (126 nucleotides) under Escherichia coli. Its description in RNAcentral is "partial RtT sRNA". It matches the Rfam family "RtT RNA". Rfam says of the family: This family represents a bacterial cis-regulatory element known as RtT RNA. The exact function of RtT is unknown although it is thought that it may be involved in changing the cellular response in relation to amino acid starvation. Lineage: Bacteria; Pseudomonadati; Pseudomonadota; Gammaproteobacteria; Enterobacterales; Enterobacteriaceae. The record is from RNAcentral.